Molecule: transfer RNA, 72 nt
Filed under: Ornithorhynchus anatinus (platypus)
Lineage: Eukaryota; Metazoa; Chordata; Mammalia; Monotremata; Ornithorhynchidae
Rfam family: tRNA
About the family: Transfer RNA (tRNA) molecules are approximately 80 nucleotides in length.
Source: Rfam by way of RNAcentral
AGCAGUGUGGCUCAGUGGUAAGAACCUGGACUUGAGAGUCAGAGAUAGUGGGUUCGAAUCCCAGCUCUGCCA